RNAcentral lists this ribosomal RNA (1522 nucleotides) under Escherichia coli. RNAcentral's name for it is "bacterial SSU rRNA". It matches the Rfam family "Bacterial small subunit ribosomal RNA". The record is from RNAcentral. Lineage: Bacteria; Pseudomonadati; Pseudomonadota; Gammaproteobacteria; Enterobacterales; Enterobacteriaceae.
AGAGUUUGAUCAUGGCUCAGAUUGAACGCUGGCGGCAGGCCUAACACAUGCAAGUCGAACGGUAACAGGAAGCAGCUUGCUGUUUCGCUGACGAGUGGCGGACGGGUGAGUAAUGUCUGGGAAACUGCCUGAUGGAGGGGGAUAACUACUGGAAACGGUAGCUAAUACCGCAUAACGUCGCAAGACCAAAGAGGGGGACCUUCGGGCCUCUUGCCAUCGGAUGUGCCCAGAUGGGAUUAGCUUGUUGGUGGGGUAACGGCUCACCAAGGCGACGAUCCCUAGCUGGUCUGAGAGGAUGACCAGCCACACUGGAACUGAGACACGGUCCAGACUCCUACGGGAGGCAGCAGUGGGGAAUAUUGCACAAUGGGCGCAAGCCUGAUGCAGCCAUGCCGCGUGUAUGAAGAAGGCCUUCGGGUUGUAAAGUACUUUCAGCGGGGAGGAAGGGAGUAAAGUUAAUACCUUUGCUCAUUGACGUUACCCGCAGAAGAAGCACCGGCUAACUCCGUGCCAGCAGCCGCGGUAAUACGGAGGGUGCAAGCGUUAAUCGGAAUUACUGGGCGUAAAGCGCACGCAGGCGGUUUGUUAAGUCAGAUGUGAAAUCCCCGGGCUCAACCUGGGAACUGCAUCUGAUACUGGCAAGCUUGAGUCUCGUAGAGGGGGGUAGAAUUCCAGGUGUAGCGGUGAAAUGCGUAGAGAUCUGGAGGAAUACCGGUGGCGAAGGCGGCCCCCUGGACGAAGACUGACGCUCAGGUGCGAAAGCGUGGGGAGCAAACAGGAUUAGAUACCCUGGUAGUCCACGCCGUAAACGAUGUCGACUUGGAGGUUGUGCCCUUGAGGCGUGGCUUCCGGAGCUAACGCGUUAAGUCGACCGCCUGGGGAGUACGGCCGCAAGGUUAAAACUCAAAUGAAUUGACGGGGGCCCGCACAAGCGGUGGAGCAUGUGGUUUAAUUCGAUGCAACGCGAAGAACCUUACCUGGUCUUGACAUCCACAGAACUUUCCAGAGAUGGAUUGGUGCCUUCGGGAACUGUGAGACAGGUGCUGCAUGGCUGUCGUCAGCUCGUGUUGUGAAAUGUUGGGUUAAGUCCCGCAACGAGCGCAACCCUUAUCCUUUGUUGCCAGCGGUCCGGCCGGGAACUCAAAGGAGACUGCCAGUGAUAAACUGGAGGAAGGUGGGGAUGACGUCAAGUCAUCAUGGCCCUUACGACCAGGGCUACACACGUGCUACAAUGGCGCAUACAAAGAGAAGCGACCUCGCGAGAGCAAGCGGACCUCAUAAAGUGCGUCGUAGUCCGGAUUGGAGUCUGCAACUCGACUCCAUGAAGUCGGAAUCGCUAGUAAUCGUGGAUCAGAAUGCCACGGUGAAUACGUUCCCGGGCCUUGUACACACCGCCCGUCACACCAUGGGAGUGGGUUGCAAAAGAAGUAGGUAGCUUAACCUUCGGGAGGGCGCUUACCACUUUGUGAUUCAUGACUGGGGUGAAGUCGUAACAAGGUAACCGUAGGGGAACCUGCGGUUG